GCGCAUUGCAUGGAUGCCUCGACUCUGUACUCCUAUGAAGGACGUGGCCAGCUGCGAUAAGCCUCGGUAAGCCGCUAGGCAGGCGUUAUAACCGGGGAUUUCCGAAUGAGGAAACUCCAUCUUCGUUAUGGAAGAUGAUCCCGCGCAAGCGGGAAGGUCACUCUGCGAACUGAAACAUCUCAGUAGCAGAGGAAAAGAAAUCAAAUGAGAUUCCCAAAGUAGUGGCGAGCGAAAUGGGAACAGGCUAAACCCCACUAUUUACUUGGUGGGGGGUUGUAGGACUCCGAUAUCUGAUUGUUUCUCUAUAGGCGAACGACCCUGGAACGGGCGGCCAAAGUGGGUGAGAGCCCCGUAGUCGAAAUAGCGAAACACAGUAGGAAGUUCCUGAGUAGGAUCGGACACGUGAAAUCCGGUCUGAAUCUGGGUGGACCACCAUCCAAGCCUAAACAGGUACAGAGAUCUAUAGCGAAUAGUACCGCGAGGGAACGGUGAAAAGUACCCCGAAAGGGGGAUGAAAUAGACCCUGAAAUGUAAUGCGUUCAAGGAAUAGGAGCCCCGUAGAUAGUGCUGCUUUCGAUAGCCUCAUGGUUAUUACAAGUUGGGCAGUACCAUCUACGGGGUGACUGUGUGCCUUUUGCAUAAUGAGCCAACGAGUUAGUUGUUAGUGGCUGGUUAAGGCAGAUUUAGCCGGAGCCAGAGCGAAAGCGAGUCCGAAUAGGGCGAAUAUAGUCGCUAGCACUAGACCCGAAACCGGGUGAGCUACCCAUGGGCAGGGUGAAGGGCGCCGGAAGGCGUCUGGAGGCCCGAACCAUUAAGUGCCACAAGACUUAGGGAUGACCUGUGGGUAGGGGUGAAAAGCCUAUCGAACCCGGAGAUAGCUGGUUCU
RNAcentral lists this ribosomal RNA (886 nucleotides) under Candidatus Peregrinibacteria bacterium CG10_big_fil_rev_8_21_14_0_10_49_10. RNAcentral's name for it is "bacterial LSU rRNA". It matches the Rfam family "Bacterial large subunit ribosomal RNA", at positions 15 to 856 of the family's 2925-position model. Lineage: Bacteria; Candidatus Peregrinibacteriota. The record is from RNAcentral.